UCUACGGGAGGCAGCAGUGGGGAAUAUUGGACAAUGGGAGCAACCCUGAUCCAGCAAUGCCGCGUGUGUGAAGAAGGUUUUCGGAUUGUAAAGCACUUUCGGCGGGGACGAUGAUGACGGUACCCGCAGAAGAAGCCCCGGCUAACUUCGUGCCAGCAGCCGCGGUAAUA
Molecule: ribosomal RNA, 170 nt
Filed under: Acetobacter tropicalis
Lineage: Bacteria; Pseudomonadati; Pseudomonadota; Alphaproteobacteria; Acetobacterales; Acetobacteraceae
Description: partial 16S ribosomal RNA
Rfam family: Bacterial small subunit ribosomal RNA
Source: RNAcentral